UUCUGAUAAGCCUUUCAGAGUAUAUGUUCGACGCGAGAAGAAGGUGGAGGAAGAAGAGAAGAGCUGAAGUGGCUAAGAGGACACGUGGAGGAAGUUGAGAGGAAGAAUAGUGUGAACACGUAGAGUAGAGUGUGAACACAUAUACUAUAAAUAAAGAGUCAUGUUGACUAUAGGGGGUAUGUUGAAUUGUGUUUAGAGUGGCGAUAUGAGCUACAGGAAUUCUGUUAUGGUCGUUAUGAGAUCUAACGGAUUCUGAUACAGGAGAAGAGAUAUCUUGUAUUCUAUUCACAAUCGAUAUACGAAGCAUUUACAGAGAGAUUCAUAGUAGAUUCUAUCAAAAUGGUGCGUAGUGACAAGAUCGAAGUAUCGCAGAGAGGAAACACCGAUAGUGAAAUGGGAAGCGAAGACGAUGAGGGAGGAAUUUCGUCGGUGAAAGAAGAAUUGAAAUAUCUGCAAGGAGGAUUUCAGCGAUUGUGCAAAACAUCAACGGAAACGGAAACGCGAAUAACGGAGCUCGAUUCGAAGCUCGAGUCAAUAUUAUCAGCGAUUCAACAGCAAUCGCGACUUCCGGCGAGAUCUGACGGCGGUGCACAACCGAUUGAGAUACCGGAAACAUCUCAAACCGCAAAUCAGGUACACAACCCUAAUCUGGGAACUUACCGGAAUGAUUACCCGCUAGGUUAUCGGCCAGGUCAUUCUGAUCUCGCGAAUAGAGAAAGUAUGCUCAAGAAGAUCGAAAUGCCGAUUUUCGACGGAACAUCACCGUAUAUGUGGAUCGCAGACGUUGAACAGUUUUUUCAGCUUGGUAGAUAUGAUGAUGAUGCGAAAUUAGAUCUGGUCGCAUUGACACUGACUGGGAAAGUUAAGAAGUGGUAUAUUUGGGUGAGAAAACGUCAAGGAUUUCGCAGUUGGAGGGAUUUUCUGGACAAAAUGUUGCUCAGAUUUGCAGAUAAAUUGGAAGAUGAACCAGGCAAGAGACUGUACUCGAUCAGGCAAACGGGUUCAAUCAGUGACUACGUAACAGAGUUUGAAGAUCUGUCAGCUCAAGUACCAGGCGUUGAUGACAAAGGAUUAGAAGAUAUUUUUUACAAUGGUUUGACUCAAGAAAUGAAAGAAGUCAUAAAGAUGAAGGAACCAAAAGGAUUGGCAAAUCACAUAGCUGCAGUGCUGAAAAUGGAAAGCAGUAUGUUUUGUAAAGUGGUAGGAGAAGUGAACAGAAAGGAUACAGGACAGACGAUAACAACAGGAUACCAACAACGACAGUACAAUUCCUUCAUCAACAAUAAACAAGGGAUACAACCGUUCAAACCUAAAGUGCUACAGAUUGAGAAAAAUGAGAAUAAAGACCAACAACCAACAGAGAGACAACAGCUAAGACCAAGACAGAAAUUCACUGAUGCUGAGCUAGAUUUGAAAAGAAGUAAAGGUCUAUGCUUCAAAUGCGAUGCCAAAUGGUUCUGAGGUCAUGAGAAUAUCUGUCCAAAAAGAGAACUUCGAGUAUUAACAGUUCUGAAUGGUUUUGAAGUGGAGGUUCUAGACGACAGUAUGUUUGAGUUGAGUGACGACGAGAUGCAAAAAGGGGAACUAAGGCACUUAUCAUUGAAUGCUUUUUUAGGGAUCAAAUCACCAAAAACAACAAAGAUCCACGGCACAAUUGGGAACACUAAAGUAAUCAUCAUGUUGGACAGUGGAGCAUCUCAUAACUUCAUUGCACCUUCAACUGUAUCUCAAGCCAAGUUACAAGUGACAGAGAAUGCUUCACUAGACGUUUUGUUGGGAAAUGGACUUCAGGUCAGAGGUUUGGGGACAUGUAACAAGGUGUGAUUCACAUUAUCACGUUUUGAAUUCACAGCAGACUUCAUAGCUCUUGAACUGGGUAAUGUGGACAUGAUUCUGGGCGUACAAUGGCUUGAGACACUCGGGAAAUGUCUGGUAGACUGGAAAAAACAGGAAUUUUCAUUCCAAUAUGGGGAUCAGUGGAUCACACUGUAUGGAGACACCAAUUUACACCAUCAACGAGUGUCCCUCAAAUCGUUUACCAAUCCAGCGAUAAUCAAAUCGAAAGGAGUAUUACUGGAGUUCAAAGGAACACGAGUGGAAGACAAGAAAGAAUUGGAAAUGCACCCUGCUAUAGCAGACCUGUUAGAAGAAUUUGAGCAUGUUUUUGCAAUCCCUACGGGAUUACCACCUAUACGGGUCGAGAGCAUAGCAUCACAUUGGUAAAUGGAGCAGGACCAAUCAAUGUGAGACCGUAUAGGUAUCCGCAUAUGCAUAAGGAAGUCAUGGAGAAAAUGGUAAGGGAGAUGCUAGAGGCCGGGACCAUAAGACAAAGUGUGAGUCCGUACUCUAGCCCUGUCCUUUUAGUCAAGAAGAAGGACGCAAGUUGGCGCUUCUGUAUUGACUAUAGGGCAUUAAACCGAGCCACUAUCCCUGACAAAUUUCCUAUUCCAAUGAUCGAUGAACUCUUGGAUGAAUUGCAUGGAGCGGUAGUCUUCUCGAAAUUGGACUUGAGAUCAGGUUACCAUCAGAUAAGAAAGAAGGAAACUGAUAUAGAGAAGACAGCGUUUAGAACGCAUGAUGGUCACUAUGAGUUCGUUGUAAUGCCUUUCGGCUUGACGAAUGCACCAGCGACAUUCCAAUCACUGAUGAAUGAUCUAUUUCGACUGUUUCUUCGGAAGUUCGUACUAGUGUUCUUUGACGACAUACUCGUAUACAGUCGAAACAUAGAGGACCAUAGAGACCAUCUGAGAGUUGUUUUGAAAGUUUUUGCAGAUCAUCAACUCUUUGCAAAUAAAAAGAAAUGCUUAUUUGCGAAACAGUCUGUAGAUUACUUGGGACAUAUCAUUUCUGCAGAAGGAGUAUCUACAGACCCAAGUAAAACGUCAGCAAUGAACAGUUGGCCAACACCGAGGACAGUGAAAGAACUGAGAGGGUUUCUUGGAUUAACCGGCUACUACAGGCGAUUUGUGAGAAAUUAUGGACAGUUGGUUAAACCCUUAACAGAACUACUGAAGAAAGACAAUUUUAUAUGGUCACAAACAGCUCAGUUGGCAUUUGAUACGCUUAAAACAACUCCUUUCACAGUUGUAUACGGACGAGAACCACCUGCAGUGAUCAGAUUUGAGGAAGAGGGUCAACAACAAACUUUGAACUGGAAUCAAGGCUGAGGGAACGUGAUAUGAUGUUGGAACAGAUAAAGGAAAACUUGAGAAGAGCUCAGAGUUUGAUGAAAGCACAGGCUGAUAAGCACCGUCGCCAACAGGAAUUCGACGUAGGGACGAAGAUAUAUCUUAAACUAAGACCGUAUAGGCAAUCGUCAGUUGCAAGAAGACUUUGCCAAAAAUUAGCAGCUCGCUACUACGGGCCUUUUGAGGUUUUGGAAAGAAUUGGCAAAGCCGCGUAUAGGUUGCAACUUCCAGAAGGGUCGAGAAUACAUCCAGUGUUCCAUGUGUCUCAACUUAAAGAAGCAUUGGGAAACGAUCAGCAAGUAACAACGUUACCUUUGGCUUUAUCUUUAAGUGAGGAACCGAUGAUUCAACCAUCAGCUGUGUUAGAUACUCGCUACAAUACGGAAGGUGAAUUGGAGGUGUUAGUAUCAUGGGAUAACUUGCCAGCACACGAAUCCUCUUGGAUAUUAGCUCGUGAAAUUCAGGCUCAAUUUCCAGAUUUUGAGCUUGAGGGCAAGCUCCAAGUCGAAGGGGGGGGGGGGGGGGUAUUGAUAAGCCUUUCAGAGUAUAUGUUCGACGCGAGAAGAAGGUGGAGGAAGAAGAGAAGAGCUGAAGUGGCUAAGAGGACACGUGGAGGAAGUUGAGAGGAAGAAUAGUGUGAACACGUAGAGUAGAGUGUGAACACAUAUAGUAUAAAUAAAGAGUCAUGUUGACUAUAGGGAGUAUGUUGAAUUGUGUUUAGAGUGGCGAUAUGAGCUACAGGAAUUCUGUUAUGGUCGUUAUGAGAUCUAACGGAUUCUGAUACAGGAGAAGAGAGAUCUUGUAUUCUAUUCACAAUCGAUAUACGAAGCAUUUACAGAGA
RNAcentral lists this long non-coding RNA (4029 nucleotides) under Eutrema salsugineum. RNAcentral describes it as "long non-coding RNA (ESAL_LNC000502)". The record is from RNAcentral. Lineage: Eukaryota; Viridiplantae; Streptophyta; Magnoliopsida; Brassicales; Brassicaceae.